This 198-nucleotide ribosomal RNA is filed under the name uncultured bacterium. RNAcentral describes it as "partial 16S ribosomal RNA". It matches the Rfam family "Bacterial small subunit ribosomal RNA", at positions 1295 to 1500 of the family's 1533-position model. The record is from RNAcentral.
GGACUGGAGUCUGCAACCCGACUCCACGAAGCUGGAUUCGCUAGUAAUCGCGCAUCAGCCACGGCGCGGUGAAUACGUUCCCGGGCCUUGUACACACCGCCCGUCAAGCCAUGGGAGCCGGGGGUACCUGAAGUGCGUAACCGCGAGGAUCGCCCUAGGGUAAAACUGGUGACUGGGGCUAAGUCGUAACAAGGUAGC